Molecule: ribosomal RNA, 501 nt
Filed under: uncultured bacterium
Lineage: Bacteria
Description: partial 16S ribosomal RNA
Rfam family: Bacterial small subunit ribosomal RNA
Source: RNAcentral
AUUGAACGCUGGCGGCAUGCCUUACACAUGCAAGUCGAACGGCAGCACGGGUGCUUGCACCUGGUGGCGAGUGGCGAACGGGUGAGUAAUACAUCGGAACGUACCUUAUCGUGGGGGAUAACGCAGCGAAAGUUGCGCUAAUACCGCAUACGCCCUGAGGGGUAAAGCGGGGGACCGUAAGGCCUCGCGCGAUUAGAGCGGCCGAUGUCUGAUUAGCUUGUUGGUGAGGUAAAAGCUCACCAAGGCGAUGAUCAGUAGCUGGUCUGAGAGGACGAUCAGCCACACUGGGACUGAGACACGGCACAGACUCCUACGGGAGGCAGCAGUGGGGAAUUUUGGACAAUGGGGGCAACCCUGAUCCAGCAAUGCCGCGUGAGUGAAGAAGGCCUUCGGGUUGUAAAGCUCUUUUGUCAGGGAAGAAACAGCAGCUCUAACACAGUCUGCGAAUGACGGUACCUGAAGAAUAAGCACCGGCUAACUACGUGCCAGCCGCCGCAGUAA